UAUGAAGAACGUAGCGAAAUGCGAUAAGUAAUGUGAAUUGCAGAAUUCAGUGAAUCAUCGAAUCUUUGAACGCACAUUGCGCCCGCCAGUAUUCUGGCGAGCAUGCCUGUUCGAGCGUCAUUUCAACCAUCAAGCCCCAGGCUUGUGUUGGAGCCCUGCGGCUGCCGCAGCCUCCCAAAACCAGUGGCGGGCUCGCUAUCACACCGAGUGCAGUAGUUUACUCUUCGCUCAGGGCGUGUGGCGGGUGCUAGCCGUGAAACCCCCAACUUCUCAAGGUUGACCUCGGAUCAGGUAGGAAUACCCGCUGAACUUAAGCAUAUCAAUAAGCGGAGGA
Molecule: unclassified non-coding RNA, 334 nt
Filed under: soil metagenome
Description: partial contains 5.8S ribosomal RNA, internal transcribed spacer 2, and large subunit ribosomal RNA
Rfam family: 5.8S ribosomal RNA (bases 2-120)
Source: RNAcentral